RNAcentral lists this ribosomal RNA (253 nucleotides) under uncultured bacterium. RNAcentral's name for it is "partial 16S ribosomal RNA". It matches the Rfam family "Bacterial small subunit ribosomal RNA", at positions 524 to 776 of the family's 1533-position model. The record is from RNAcentral.
UACGUAGGGGGCAAGCGUUGUCCGGAUUUAUUGGGCGUAAAGAGCGUGUAGGCGGCCAUGUAGGUCCAUUGUGAAAACUCGAGGCUCAACCUCGAGACGCCGAUGGAAACCAUGUGGCUAGAGUCCGGAAGAGGAGAGUGGAAUUCCUGGUGUAGCGGUGAAAUGCGCAGAUAUCAGGAAGAACACCCGUGGCUAAGGCGGCUCUCUAGUACGGUACUGACGCUGAGACGCGAAAGCGUGGGGAGCGAACAGG